RNAcentral lists this ribosomal RNA (981 nucleotides) under human metagenome. RNAcentral describes it as "bacterial LSU rRNA". It matches the Rfam family "Bacterial large subunit ribosomal RNA", at positions 1946 to 2925 of the family's 2925-position model. The record is from RNAcentral.
CGGUCCUAAGGUAGCGAAAUUCCUUGUCGGGUAAGUUCCGACCUGCACGAAUGGCAUAAUGAUGGCCAGGCUGUCUCCACCCGAGACUCAGUGAAAUUGAAAUCGCCGUGAAGAUGCGGUGUACCCGCGGCUAGACGGAAAGACCCCGUGAACCUUUACUAUAGCUUGACACUGAACAUUGAAUUUUGAUGUGUAGGAUAGGUGGGAGACUUUGAAGUAGUCACGCCAGUGAUUAUGGAGUCGUCCUUGAAAUACCACCCUUUAACGUUUGAUGUUCUAACGAAGAUUACGAAACGUGGUCUCGGACAGUGUCUGGUGGGUAGUUUGACUGGGGCGGUCUCCUCCCAAAGAGUAACGGAGGAGCACGAAGGUUUGCUAAUCACGGUCGGACAUCGUGAGGUUAGUGCAAUGGUAUAAGCAAGCUUAACUGCGAGACAGACAAGUCGAGCAGGUACGAAAGUAGGUCAUAGUGAUCCGGUGGUUCUGUAUGGAAGGGCCAUCGCUCAACGGAUAAAAGGUACUCCGGGGAUAACAGGCUGAUACCGCCCAAGAGUUCAUAUCGACGGCGGUGUUUGGCACCUCGAUGUCGGCUCAUCACAUCCUGGGGCUGAAGUAGGUCCCAAGGGUAUGGCUGUUCGCCAUUUAAAGUGGUACGCGAGCUGGGUUUAGAACGUCGUGAGACAGUUCGGUCCCUAUCUGCCGUGGGCGUUGGAGAAUUGAUUGGGGCUGCUCCUAGUACGAGAGGACCGGAGUGGACGCACCACUGGUGUUCCGGUUGUGUCGCCAGACGCAUUGCCGGGUAGCUAAGUGCGGAAGAGAUAAGUGCUGAAAGCAUCUAAGCACGAAACUUGCCAAGAGAUGAGUUCUCCCAGAUUUAAAAUCUGUAAGGGUUGUUUAAGACUAAGACGUAGAUAGGUGCGGUGUGUAAGUGAUGUGAGUCAUUGAGCUAACGCAUACUAAUUGCCCGAGAGGCUUAACUAU